UUUCCGUAGGUGAACCUGCGGAAGGAUCAUUCUUAAUUAGCGUUUAUGCGAGGGCUGAAACUGACCCGAACCGUCGUGCACGCCCGAGUGGCCUCACACACAUCCAUCUCACCCCUAUGUCCACCACCGCAUCGGUCCGCCUUUAACUUAUUCUGAGUGGGGAUUACGAUUUCACCCAACCUUAACGUGCAGUGUGGCAUUUAUUUUGUGGUUUUACGAUCCCGCUCGCAAUACAACUCUCAACAACUCCUGUCUUUGCUCUCGCAUCGAUGAAGCACC
RNAcentral lists this unclassified non-coding RNA (279 nucleotides) under plant metagenome. Its description in RNAcentral is "partial contains small subunit ribosomal RNA, internal transcribed spacer 1, and 5.8S ribosomal RNA". The record is from RNAcentral.